Molecule: transfer RNA, 74 nt
Filed under: Darwinula stevensoni
Lineage: Eukaryota; Metazoa; Arthropoda; Ostracoda; Podocopida; Darwinulidae
Also listed under: 1 other name
Rfam family: tRNA
About the family: Transfer RNA (tRNA) molecules are approximately 80 nucleotides in length. Their secondary structure includes four short double-helical elements and three loops (D, anti-codon, and T loops). Further hydrogen bonds mediate the characteristic L-shaped molecular structure. tRNAs have two regions of fundamental functional importance: the anti-codon, which is responsible for specific mRNA codon recognition, and the 3' end, to which the tRNAs corresponding amino acid is attached (by aminoacyl-tRNA synthetases). tRNAs cope with the degeneracy of the genetic code in two manners: having more than one tRNA (with a specific anti-codon) for a particular amino acid; and 'wobble' base-pairing, i.e. permitting non-standard base-pairing at the 3rd anti-codon position.
Source: Rfam by way of RNAcentral
GGGGAAUUAGCUCAUUUGGCUAGAGCGCCACGCUGGCAGCGUGGAGGCGACCGGUUCGAAUCCGGUAUUCUCCA